GAUGAACGCUGGCGGCGUGCCUAAUACAUGCAAGUCGAGCGAACGGACGAGAAGCUUGCUUCUCUGAUGUUAGCGGCGGACGGGUGAGUAACACGUGGAUAACCUACCUAUAAGACUGGGAUAACUUCGGGAAACCGGAGCUAAUACCGGAUAAUAUUUUGAACCGCAUAGUUCAAAAGUGAAAGACGGUCUUGCUGUCACUUAUAGAUGGAUCCGCGCUGCAUUAGCUAGUUGGUAAGGUAACGGCUUACCAAGGCAACGAUGCAUAGCCGACCUGAGAGGGUGAUCGGCCACACUGGAACUGAGACACGGUCCAGACUCCUACGGGAGGCAGCAGUAGGGAAUCUUCCGCAAUGGGCGAAAGCCUGACGGAGCAACGCCGCGUGAGUGAUGAAGGUCUUCGGAUCGUAAAACGCUGUUAUUAGGGAAGAACAUAUGUGUAAGUAACUGUGCACAUCUUGACGGUACCUAAUCAGAAAGCCACGGCUAACUACGU
RNAcentral lists this ribosomal RNA (496 nucleotides) under uncultured bacterium. Its description in RNAcentral is "partial 16S ribosomal RNA". It matches the Rfam family "Bacterial small subunit ribosomal RNA", at positions 28 to 506 of the family's 1533-position model. The record is from RNAcentral.